This 448-nucleotide ribosomal RNA is filed under the name uncultured bacterium. Its description in RNAcentral is "SSU rRNA". It matches the Rfam family "Bacterial small subunit ribosomal RNA", at positions 26 to 518 of the family's 1533-position model. The record is from RNAcentral.
AGAGCGAACGCUGGCGGCAGGCCUAACACAUGCAAGUCGAGCGCCCGUAGCAAUACGGGAGCGGCAGACGGGAUAGUAACACGUGGGAACGCGCCCUUCGGUUCGGAAUAACUCAGGGAAACUUGAGCUAAUACCGGAUACGCCCUUACGGGGAAAGAUUUAUUGCCGAAGGAACGGCCCGCGUCCGAUUAGCUAGUUGGUGAGGUAAUGGCUCACCAAGGCGACGAUCGGUAGCUGGUCUGAGAGGAUGACCAGCAUCACUGGGACUGAGACACGGCCCAGACUCCUACGGGAGGCAGCAGUGGGGAAUAUUGGACAAUGGGCGCAAGCCUGAUCCAGCCAUGCCGCGUGGAUGAUGAAGGCCUUAGGGUUGUAAAGUCCUUUUAACGGGGAAGUAUAAUGACGGUACCGUAGAAUAAGCCCCGGCUAACUUCGCGCCAGCAGCCGC